CGGCGUGCUUAACACAUGCAAGUCGAACGAACCUUCGGGUUAGUGGCGGACGGGUGAGUAACGCGUGAGAAUCUGCCCUCAGGAGGGGGAUAACAGCUGGAAACGGCUGCUAAUACCCCAUAUGCCGCGAGGUGAAAUGAAUUUCGCCUGAGGAUGAGCUCGCGUCUGAUUAGCUAGUUGGUGUAGGUAAUGGCUCACCAAGGCAUCGAUCAGUAGCUGGUCUGAGAGGAUGAUCAGCCACACUGGGACUGAGACACGGCCCAGACUCCUACGGGAGGCAGCAGUGGGGAAUUUUCCGCAAUGGGCGAAAGCCUGACGGAGCAACGCCGCGUGAGGGAUGAAGGCCUCUGGGCUGUAAACCUCUUUUAUCAAGGAAGAAGAUCUGACGGUACUUGAUGAAUAAGCCACGGC
RNAcentral lists this ribosomal RNA (411 nucleotides) under uncultured bacterium. Its description in RNAcentral is "bacterial SSU rRNA". It matches the Rfam family "Bacterial small subunit ribosomal RNA", at positions 40 to 497 of the family's 1533-position model. The record is from RNAcentral.